UACAGAGGUCUCAAGCGUUGUUCGGAUUCAUUGGGCGUAAAGGGUGCGUAGGCGGCGCGGUAAGUCGGGUGUGAAAUCUCGGAGCUUAACUCCGAAACUGCAUUCGAUACUGCCGUGCUUGAGGACUGGAGAGGAGACUGGAAUUUACGGUGUAGCGGUGAAAUGCGUAGAUAUCGUUUGGAACGCCAAUGGUGAAAACAGGUUGCUGGGGGUGUGCUGACGCUGAGACACGAAAGCCAGGGGAGCGAACGGG
This 253-nucleotide ribosomal RNA is filed under the name uncultured bacterium. RNAcentral's name for it is "partial 16S ribosomal RNA". It matches the Rfam family "Bacterial small subunit ribosomal RNA", at positions 524 to 776 of the family's 1533-position model. The record is from RNAcentral.